AAGUCGUAACAAGGUUUCCGUAGGUGAACCUGCGGAAGGAUCAUUAUCGAGUCUUUGAAAGUGGGCUUGAUGCUGGCGCUCUCGGGCGCAUGUGCUCGGCCUGCUGCUCAUCCACUCCAACCCCUGUGCACGCUCGAAGCGCGUCGGUCCUCCGUCGUGGGAGCAGCUCCUUCUGGGAGCCGGGAUCGCGCGCUUCGCUCUUUAUUAUACCCCUUGCAUAUUGUCUUGUAGAAUGCUUAGCCUCUUAGUGGGCGAAAUGUAAUACAACUUUCAACAACGGAUCUCUUGGCUCUC
This 294-nucleotide unclassified non-coding RNA is filed under the name air metagenome. RNAcentral's name for it is "partial contains small subunit ribosomal RNA, internal transcribed spacer 1, and 5.8S ribosomal RNA". The stretch from base 1 to 46 matches the Rfam family "Eukaryotic small subunit ribosomal RNA", at positions 1786 to 1831 of the family's 1831-position model. The record is from RNAcentral.